This 75-nucleotide transfer RNA is filed under the name Synechococcus phage S-CBWM1. RNAcentral's name for it is "tRNA-Lys". It matches the Rfam family "tRNA". Rfam says of the family: Transfer RNA (tRNA) molecules are approximately 80 nucleotides in length. Their secondary structure includes four short double-helical elements and three loops (D, anti-codon, and T loops). Lineage: Duplodnaviria; Heunggongvirae; Uroviricota; Caudoviricetes. The record is from RNAcentral.
GGGUUGCUAACUCAACGGUAGAGUAGCUGGCUUUUAACCAGUAAGUUCAGGGUUCGAAUCCCUGGCAACCCAUCA